AAUACAUGCAAGUCGAGCGGAAUGAUGAAGAAGCUUGCUUCUUCUGAUUUUAGCGGCGGACGGGUGAGUAACACGUGGGCAACCUACCAUGUAGAUUGGGAUAACUCCGGGAAACCGGGGCUAAUACCGAAUAAUCCAUUUUGCUUCAUGGCGAGAUGUUGAAAGACGGUUUCGGCUGUCACUACAAGAUGGGCCCGCGGCGCAUUAGCUAGUUGGUAGGGUAAUGGCCUACCAAGGCGACGAUGCGUAGCCGACCUGAGAGGGUGAUCGGCCACACUGGGACUGAGACACGGCCCAGACUCCUACGGGAGGCAGCAGUAGGGAAUCUUCCACAAUGGACGAAAGUCUGAUGGAGCAACGCCGCGUGAGUGAAGAAGGUUUUCGGAUCGUAAAACUCUGUUGUAAGGGAAGAACACGUACGAGAGUAACUGCUCGUACCUUGACGGUACCUUAUUAGAAAGCCACGGCUAACUACGUG
RNAcentral lists this ribosomal RNA (478 nucleotides) under uncultured bacterium. RNAcentral describes it as "bacterial SSU rRNA". It matches the Rfam family "Bacterial small subunit ribosomal RNA", at positions 50 to 507 of the family's 1533-position model. The record is from RNAcentral.